UUACAAUUUGUCAGCCUGACACACAAGUCUUUAGUGUAAGCAUGUGUACUUAUAUUCUAUUUUAAUUCCAGAAUCCUGAACGAUGCAGACUGUUUUCCACUAAACACAAAGAAAUGGAACCCGGUAACCGAAAAAAACUACGGAUCUAGCUAGUGGAAGCCGCUUCAAAAGACAUCAAUAUUUUGUUAAUGACGUGCGGAAUAAUGAUUUAGGAACAAAUUCCGAUAUACCUAAUAGUCAGUGGAUUGGACAAUUAUCGCAAAUCCCAAAUAACGAAAUACUGCGGCCGACAUUUGACGGUAGUUUAUUAGUCUCACCUCCAGCGGAGGAUGAGGAAGUUGAUUAAUUCAGCCAAUAUAAACAGAAGCAGUCCAGAGCGUGAUAGGCCGAGAUCAUCCUCUUAUCUACCCUUCUGCGGCGCGGGCUCGGCGGCGUUUAACAGUAUUAUGUAACGUAUUGAUAUCAAGUACAAUUAUUGUAAUAUAUGUGUGUGUCUAGUCUUUGUGUGUUUUAUUGGUACAGUCAGCCCACGAAUGUAGCUGAACAAAUUAAAAAUUCCAAAACGCACAAACUGUUUAGUGGAGCUUAUGAAUGCAAUUUACUGGAACAAAUCAAUAUAAUUGUUCCUUACAAUUUUCCCAGACACCCACUAAACAAAAUUCAUCAGGGCCCUCCAUAUAGAUCGAAUCAAGGGCUCCAUUCACCGUUUAACCGGACAUGCGAUAGUUAUAGUAUGAUGUGCACUAAAUUAUCUGAUCUUGACAUA
Molecule: long non-coding RNA, 766 nt
Organism: Manduca sexta (tobacco hornworm)
Lineage: Eukaryota; Metazoa; Arthropoda; Insecta; Lepidoptera; Sphingidae
Exons: 3
Source: RefSeq, a predicted model, not a curated record